AUGGAGUCUGGCAUGGCUCCAGGUGUAAUUACGAGACUUGAUUCAGUUACAGACCUGAAUGGAGGAGAAGGUCAAGCUUGCCUGCAGUCCGGAGUCAGAGUAGUGAAUUCCCAGAAAGCUCAGAUUCAAUUAUGUAGGGAGGCCUCUGCCAGUUCCAGUUCUGUUGUUGCACUUUUAAGACUCCCAUCCACAGAAGAAUGCCUGCUGGCAGUUACAGUUGAUAAACUAAGUAGGAGUUUCCUGCUCCAGAGGGAAUGGAGGCACUGGCAGCAACCACUGGCAGCUGGAACUCCCAAGCAACUGCAUGAUGUGGGAGGAUGCCUGGCAGUCAUUUCUGACCACAAGGCCUGGGAGCCACUCUUACAUCCAAUUCUCUCUCCUUUUGAACUGAUUCAGAAGACUCGGAGACCUUGCUUUUGAAAAAACCCAAACUGGACAGAGAGUUGCUGAAUUUUUAUAAUGACAGAGGCUUCCAGGAGGAGUGACACGUAUCCCUGCUGGAUGAGCUCACAGUUCCAGUAGGAAGACACAAGCUGAAGGAUUGCAGCAGGAAUGGUAAGUGGAAGCACAGAGCGGCUGUGGGACAUGGAGGAGGGGCAGGAAGAUUGAGAAAGAGGCGACAGAUGGGGUGACGUUGGGCCUGAGACCUGAAGAGGCGUAAGACGUCUCAUUCUCUAAAUGUGUUCUAUUCUUUGCAGUGGACAUUUCUUUGUACCAGGUAGCUUUGCACUUGUUUCGUUCCAUAAAAGUAAAUCUCUGUUCACUAAGGAACUAUGAUAGUGUAAUGGUGACUCUCCGGAAUUAAAGGGCUAAUUCCAAAAGAAUCUUAGAUUUCCCCCCUCACAUUGUAACAUUAACACUCGGGAAUUCUGUUUACCGCAUUGUUUAAUAAAGUGGCCAGCAGAGGGCACUGCAUACUGACAAUCUCUCCACACCAGACGCUCAAAUCUUCAAGGGGUGUUUGCAAGCGCUUUGCUCUUCCGUUUCAGAUAUAAACAAACGUCAGAAAUUAAAAGAGGGUUGUGAAGCAGGAAGUUAGGUAAACAGUAUCAUAUAAGUUCCCUCUAUUUGUUAAUAAAGAGAAAAACUGUUGGUAUGUAUACCCACGUCCACAGGGUUUAAAUGUAGCUGUAUGAGUGAAGGUGUUAAUGAUAAGAUAACACUAAAUUCUUGCAUAAAUCAACAACACUUUUAAAUUCCAUUUGAAAAUGCAUUUUGGUUUUAUGCUGUGGUUUAAUCCUCAAUCAUAAACUAAAAAUUAACAAAACCCGAUGCCUAAUGUUAUACUUUCUGCCGAACAUUAAGAUAGAUGUUACUGUUUGAACAGUAUCCAAAUGUUGUGUUCCUGCACAAAGUCUUUUUAUCGCUCUUCCGGUGAUACGUUAUGUAUGUUUCCACAUGUGGAUGUGAGGAUUCUAAAACAUUUUUGAAGCACUACUUUCUUGCCUUCAUCUCCCCAUUAUAAAAACUUAAAGGCGUGUUUUAAAACCUGUCUGCUCUUGAUUCAACUUGACAACGUGGAGACUUUGGUUAGCAUGGCUGGUCCUGUGAGUUAAUGCACAGCUCUGUGUUUUUCAUCUAAGAAACAAACUACACGGGCCCCUUCCAUUGCUACUGACUUGAUUCGCCACAGCCCAUCUCUAUGAAGUAAAUACGGAUCCUCCGGCAUUUGCAGAGUUAAGACAGCUUCCUGGGAUCAAAGCCUGAAUCACAUAAAUACAGGCGAAGAACUACGAAAAAAUUCUUACGGCAGGAAACACUCAAGAAAGUUUUCAUAUUAAAAAUCUCUUAUCCCAAAAACUGUAGGCUGUGUUCUGAUGAUGUCUUACUGAUUUAUCAGAUAUGUUUAAUGGCAGUUUGUAACAUGUUCCUGCUGAGUGAAAGAACGGCACCCCGACAAGCGGGCAGAAUUGAAGAGGCAUGACAUUCUCUGAUAACUUAAUCCAUGCUCAGUUUGACUAGCAAUUUUAUUGCUUGGUAUAUAAUACAUUUAGUUUUACAAGUAAGAUAUAGUUUAAUAGUGUUUAAAUAUUAUUUUGCAAGCAGGGAAAGAAUUCUAAUUCUGAAUAAUACCAAAAGGCUCUGCAGCAUAUUGGGAUUUAAGUCUAGAUUAAGUCACUACUGUAGAUUAUGUCAUGAUUUGUCUUUUAAAAUUGGAAAGCGAAUUAACUUUUGCCCGUUGGUUCUCUUUGCAGAGAGUGAUUGCCUGGGUACCUGUGGGCACCUGCAGUACACAUUGUGUCUGGAGUGCCCUCUUGUGGCCAUGCAUCUUUAUGCAGAUAGAGUCCUCCUCUGCUACUAUUUUGUGGGGCUUCUUCCAUUUCACUGUGCAUUGGUGAGGCUACUGGAAUAGGACUUGCUUGAGCCGGGUUCAUUAUCUACAAGUAGGAUGCUGGUAACAGACAGCACUAGGGAGAUUAAUACAGUCUUCGAGGAGGUACAUCAUAGCUUCAUGUUCUAAAGAUUACCUUUCAGUUAUUGAAUUUUUAGUCAUUUAUUUAAAGUGAUUAUUGCUCAUAAAAUAUUAUCAUCAUCAAAGAGCCUUUCUCCUUUUGUCCAGAUCAACAAUGACCCGUAACAGGUUUGGUCUAGACGAGUCAUCGUGGACGGUCCGAGCCACCCUAGGCCUGCUCUGGUUUACACGGGGCAUGACUGGCAUGAACUCCAGCCUUCCACGGUCUAAAUAGCACUGAUACUCUGAACACAGUAAGAACUCCACGAUUCCACCUCAGUUCCACCCAACGCAAGGGGAAUAGUUCCCCCAUUUCACAGGAAUUUAUACGGUGCCUUUUAGGGAAGAGGCAAAGUGCAAAUUGUUAUGGUUAGGACCUGAGUUCUGUAGUCAAACCAAGGCCAGCCAAGAGCAAACUUUGUGAAUUCAGGCAACAAAUUAAACUUUAUAGCCUUAGUUUUAUCAUCUACAUAAUGGGGAGAGUAACAGGUUGCGGAGAAGAUUGAGUGGCAACAAGACCGCAUAACAUUGGAC
Molecule: long non-coding RNA, 2986 nt
Organism: Callithrix jacchus (white-tufted-ear marmoset)
Lineage: Eukaryota; Metazoa; Chordata; Mammalia; Primates; Cebidae
Source: Ensembl